RNAcentral lists this long non-coding RNA (246 nucleotides) under Prunus dulcis (almond). RNAcentral's name for it is "sRNA ncRNA". The record is from RNAcentral. Lineage: Eukaryota; Viridiplantae; Streptophyta; Magnoliopsida; Rosales; Rosaceae.
AUGCCUAGCUUUCCAAAGGCAAGCUUGUUGAUAGCAUUCUUAAUCAUUCUGUCAAUGCUUGUAGUGAGAUCAGAGGCACGUUUUUCUCUUGUGUUCUCAACCCUGCCACAUAAGACUGAUAGCCGCCUUUUCUUGCGUAAACUGGGGUUUCAUGUACCAAAAAAUGAGUCUUAUCAGAGAAGGUUUCUUCUGGGUGGAGAUAUAAAGAGAACCUCACCCGGAGGACCAGAUCCCCAACAUCAUUAG